RNAcentral lists this long non-coding RNA (580 nucleotides) under Dromaius novaehollandiae (emu). RNAcentral describes it as "lncRNA (ENSDNVG00000011654.1)". The record is from RNAcentral. Lineage: Eukaryota; Metazoa; Chordata; Aves; Casuariiformes; Dromaiidae.
CAUGUGCUUUAACCUAAUUCAGCAAGGUACUUAUUCAAGURUUUCUGCUAUUCUUCCUUUCGUGAAAUGCACCAGGUGUAGUUACACUGAAGUAUUACGUGUGAAAUCCUGUCUCCAUAGGUCUGGAGAAAAAACUCGUUGACUUCAGUGAGCCCAGGAGUUCAGCCAUACCUUAUAAAUGCUCUCCAGCCUGCUCCCCGCUGCCGGACUGUGCAGCUCCUUCGACUUCAAGCAGGCUCAGAGGCAUGAGCACCAACUUCCAGUAAUUCUGUCACCUCGAACAAGUUCACCUCUGGAAAUAGCAGCUUUUCCAUUCCGGUUGGAGUGACAGAUGCUCAGAAACUCUGAAAGCUGUGUAUGUUGGUGUGCCACACCCACUCUUAGGACACCCUUCUGGUGGUGGGACCAUCCACAGCCUGAGUCAACUACAGUUGUAGAGGUUGCUGCUUUAAGGCUUUAAUUGCAGUUGCCAUUGCUGACAAACCACGUCCGUCUGCGCCAGUCUUUGAAGUAAACCUGAGCGUGCAUAACCACUUUCCAAGGGUGAAACAAGAUGUACACCAGGAGUGCAGGUAAACUG